This 76-nucleotide transfer RNA is filed under the name Methanobacteriota archaeon. RNAcentral's name for it is "Euryarchaeota archaeon tRNA-Val". It matches the Rfam family "tRNA". Rfam says of the family: Transfer RNA (tRNA) molecules are approximately 80 nucleotides in length. Their secondary structure includes four short double-helical elements and three loops (D, anti-codon, and T loops). Further hydrogen bonds mediate the characteristic L-shaped molecular structure. tRNAs have two regions of fundamental functional importance: the anti-codon, which is responsible for specific mRNA codon recognition, and the 3' end, to which the tRNAs corresponding amino acid is attached (by aminoacyl-tRNA synthetases). tRNAs cope with the degeneracy of the genetic code in two manners: having more than one tRNA (with a specific anti-codon) for a particular amino acid; and 'wobble' base-pairing, i.e. permitting non-standard base-pairing at the 3rd anti-codon position. Lineage: Archaea; Methanobacteriati; Methanobacteriota. The record is from RNAcentral. RNAcentral also lists the same sequence under 3 other names.
GGGCCCGUGGUCUAGCGGUUAUGACACCUCGCUUACACCGAGUUGAUCGUGGGUUCGAUUCCCACCGGGCCCACCA